UGGGAUAGCUCAGUCAGUAGAGCAUAAGACUCUUAAUCUCAAGGUUGGGAGUUUGAGCCCCACAUUGGGGAAAAA
This 75-nucleotide transfer RNA is filed under the name Podarcis lilfordi (Lilford's wall lizard). RNAcentral's name for it is "tRNA.Lys". Lineage: Eukaryota; Metazoa; Chordata; Lepidosauria; Squamata; Lacertidae. The record is from RNAcentral.